This 464-nucleotide ribosomal RNA is filed under the name uncultured bacterium. RNAcentral's name for it is "partial 16S ribosomal RNA". It matches the Rfam family "Bacterial small subunit ribosomal RNA", at positions 30 to 507 of the family's 1533-position model. The record is from RNAcentral.
UGAACGCUGGCGGCGUGCUUAACACAUGCAAGUCGAACGAUGAAGCCCAGCUUGCUGGGUGGAUUAGUGGCGAACGGGUGAGUAACACGUGAGUAACCUGCCCUUAACUCUGGGAUAAGCCUGGGAAACUGGGUCUAAUACCGGAUAGGAGCGUCCACCGCAUGGUGGGUGUUGGAAAGAUUUAUCGGUUUUGGAUGGACUCGCGGCCUAUCAGCUUGUUGGUGAGGUAAUGGCUCACCAAGGCGACGACGGGUGGCCGGCCUGAGAGGGUGACCGGCCACACUGGGACUGAGACACGGCCCAGACUCCUACGGGAGGCAGCAGUGGGGAAUAUUGCACAAUGGGCGCAAGCCUGAUGCAGCGACGCCGCGUGAGGGAUGACGGCCUUCGGGUUGUAAACCUCUUUCAGUAGGGAAGAAGCGAAAGUGACGGUACCUGCAGAAGAAGCACCGGCUAACUACGUG